GNCGUCAAGUCNUCAUGGCCCUUACGACCGGGCUACACACGUACUACAAUGGUGGGGACAGAGGGCUGCAAACCGGCGACGGUGAGCCAAUCCCAGAAACCCUAUCUCAGUCCGGAUUGGAGUCUGCAACUCGACUCCAUGAAGUCGGAAUCGCUAGUAAUCGCAGAUCAGCAUUGCUGCGGUGAAUACGUUCCCGGGCCUUGUACACACCGCCCGUCACACCAUGGGAGUUUGUUGCACCAGAAGCAGGUAGCUUAACCUUCGGGAGGGCGCUUGCCACGGUGUGGCCGAUGACUGGGGUGAAGUCGUAACAAGGUAGCCGUAUCGGAAGGUGCGGUUGGAUCACUCNC
Molecule: ribosomal RNA, 350 nt
Filed under: Xanthomonas sacchari
Lineage: Bacteria; Pseudomonadati; Pseudomonadota; Gammaproteobacteria; Lysobacterales; Lysobacteraceae
Description: bacterial SSU rRNA
Rfam family: Bacterial small subunit ribosomal RNA
Source: RNAcentral